UCCUCAUGAACACUGAAGAAAAGGAGAGUUCUAAAACUGGACUGAUACAGAGAAUAUUAGCAUGGCCUUUACACAAUGAUAACACCAAUUUGUAGAGCAUUCCAUAGUUUU
This is a small nuclear RNA of Molossus molossus (Pallas's mastiff bat), 111 nucleotides long. The record is from RefSeq and is a predicted model, not a curated record. Lineage: Eukaryota; Metazoa; Chordata; Mammalia; Chiroptera; Molossidae.